GACGAACGCUGGCGGCGUGCCUAAUACAUGCAAGUAGAACGCUGAAGGAGGAGCUUGCUUCUCUGGAUGAGUUGCGAACGGGUGUGUAACGCGUAGGUAACCUGCCUGGUAGCGGGGGGUAACUAUUGGAAACGAUAGCUAAUACCGCAUAAUAGAAGAUGUUGCAUGACAUUUGCUUAUAAGGUGCAAUUGCACCACUACUAGUUGGACCUGCGGUGUAUUAGUUAGUUGGUGGGGUAACGGCUCAACAAGGCGACGAUACAUAGCCGACCUGGGAGGGUGGUCGGCCACACUGGGACCGGGACACGGCCCAGACUCCUACGGGAGGCAGCAGUAGGGAAUCUUCCGCAAUGGGCGGAAGUCUUACCGGGCCACGCCGCGUGAGUGAAGAAGGUUUUCCGAUCGUAAAGCUCUGUUGUAAGGGAAGAACGAGUGUUAGAGUGGAAUGUUCACGCUGUGACGGUAUCUUACCAGAAAGGCACGGCUAACUACGUG
Molecule: ribosomal RNA, 495 nt
Filed under: uncultured bacterium
Lineage: Bacteria
Description: partial 16S ribosomal RNA
Rfam family: Bacterial small subunit ribosomal RNA
Source: RNAcentral